This is a long non-coding RNA of Mauremys reevesii (Reeves's turtle), 281 nucleotides long. RefSeq lists it as uncharacterized. Lineage: Eukaryota; Metazoa; Chordata; Testudines; Geoemydidae. The transcript has 3 exons. The record is from RefSeq and is a predicted model, not a curated record.
UCAGCGUCCUGGGCCAGCUGGUGGGGUGUCUCACUCUGUGCCGUGCGGAGCAGGAGCAGGAGAUCUGCCAAUCGGCUGUGGAGGGACUUCGCCACCUCUACUCCUUCAUGCUGCAUCUAAAAUCUGAAAGUCUGAGGAAGCUCGGUGCAGAGUAUCGGCAGAUCCUCAAGAACAGUCAAGUUGAGACAGCCUUCUGGGUCACCAACACCAGAAAUAUCACAUUGAUUUUUGGGAAGUACUUGGAGCCGUCUGAAGGCAUGGACUUUCUCCUCACUGCUAUC